AUUUGAGUCCUGAUCACGAUGCAUUGAAAACUUCCUAUGUGAGAUGUUUCUGUUUUUAUAUCUCUUCCAGGUGUCCCUGAGUAUAUAAGCAUGGGUCUAUGUCUACCAAGCUCACUGUAGAGUCACUUUUACCUUUUGCUAUGGUGGAAUGGGAUCUGUAGGGUCAGGAACACAGCACCCAACACAGUGCCUUAUGGAUAGUAGUUUUAUAAUACAGAUGUGUUGGAAGAAUAAAUGAAUGGGUCCUUUUCAAACAAAUUCACCAGAAGUUACCACAUUCUCUGUAUGUAUGUCCUUUUUCGUUUGGCAUUUAGCUGACACUGACUUUUGUUUGCUUUCAUCUAGAGUGACCAACCAUCCUCUUGUGCCCAGAACUACAGGACUUUCCAUUUUAAAACUAGGAGAGUCCCACACAAACCAGGACUGUUGAGAAUGAAGAAAAGCAAGGCAGGAUGACAGCCCACCCAGGAGCAACAUGGAGACAGAGGAACCUCCUCCACCCAGGGAAGUCGUAAGUGAAUGUGCGAUCCUGGGAAACCACGCUCCUCCCAUGGAUCCUUGCAACCCUUGGGUCAGGAGAUCCCCUGGUGAACCCACUCCACCAGGGCCUUCAGUCUGACACACAGAGAUACAUG
This 635-nucleotide long non-coding RNA is filed under the name Pan troglodytes (chimpanzee). Its description in RNAcentral is "long non-coding RNA NONPTRT018404". Lineage: Eukaryota; Metazoa; Chordata; Mammalia; Primates; Hominidae. The record is from RNAcentral.